UUAUUUAAUGUGAGACUCAAAUCGUUGACGCGAUUUCCUCUGUAGUCACAUAGAGUCAUGCAAAGCCACUGAUGUAUAUUAGCCUUUCUGUAUUUAGAUUAGUUUAAUAUGAAAGUAAAACUCUACAGUGGAGUUCAAGUUUUCAAUUAUUAUUUUUGUCAAGUAAAGUCUGUCUUAUGAACUUAUGGUAAACAGUCAAAUUAAAUUGUUAACCACCUGCUUGUCCUUCUGAAAUUCGGAAGUUACUACUUUUAUAAUAACACCGAGGAG
RNAcentral lists this long non-coding RNA (270 nucleotides) under Mytilus galloprovincialis (Mediterranean mussel). The record is from RNAcentral. Lineage: Eukaryota; Metazoa; Mollusca; Bivalvia; Mytilida; Mytilidae.